Molecule: ribosomal RNA, 253 nt
Filed under: uncultured bacterium
Lineage: Bacteria
Description: partial 16S ribosomal RNA
Rfam family: Bacterial small subunit ribosomal RNA
Source: RNAcentral
UACGAGGGGUGCAAGCGUUAUUCGGAAUCAUUGGGCGUAAAGGGUGCGUAGACGGCGUUUUAAGUCAACUGUUAAAUCUUUCGGCCUAACCGAAAGCUCGCGGUAGAUACUGAAAUGCUAGAGGGUGGAAGAGAGAAGUGGAAUUCUCGGAGUAGCGGUAAAAUGCGUAGAUCUCGAGAGGAACACCGAUGGCGAAGGCAGCUUCUUGGUCCAUACCUGACGUUGAGGCACGAAAGCGUGGGGAGCAAACAGG